UAGGGAAUCUUCCGCAAUGGGCGAAAGCCUGACGGAGCAACGCCGCGUGAGUGAUGAAGGUCUUCGGAUCGUAAAACUCUGUUAUUAGGGAAGAACAAAUGUGUAAGUAACUAUGCACAUCUUGACGGUACCUAAUCAGAAAGCCACGGCUAACUACGUGCCAGCAGCCGCGGUAAUACGUAGGUGGCAAGCGUUAUCCGGAAUUAUUGGGCGUAAAGCGCGCGUAGGCGGUUUUUUAAGUCUGAUGUGAAAGCCCACGGCUCAACCGUGGAGGGUCAUUGGAAACUGGAAAACUUGAGUGCAGAAGAGGAAAGUGGAAUUCCAUGUGUAGCGGUGAAAUGCGCAGAGAUAUGGAGGAACACCAGUGGCGAAGGCGACUUUCUGGUCUGUAACUGACGCUGAUGUGCGAAAGCGUGGGAAUCAAACAGG
RNAcentral lists this ribosomal RNA (429 nucleotides) under Bacteroidota bacterium. RNAcentral describes it as "Bacteroidetes bacterium partial 16S ribosomal RNA". It matches the Rfam family "Bacterial small subunit ribosomal RNA", at positions 355 to 776 of the family's 1533-position model. The record is from RNAcentral. Lineage: Bacteria; Pseudomonadati; Bacteroidota.